Molecule: long non-coding RNA, 1298 nt
Filed under: Monodelphis domestica (gray short-tailed opossum)
Lineage: Eukaryota; Metazoa; Chordata; Mammalia; Didelphimorphia; Didelphidae
Description: lncRNA (ENSMODG00000034419.2)
Source: RNAcentral
CCUGGCUCUCCUGCCUAGUUUCCUACUGCUCUUUUUCACCUAGUCUAGCUACCUGGUUUCUUGUGCUCAUAUCUAUCUUUUGGGGCCCUGAUAGAGUUUUUGGUGUCUGUUUGGAUUGUGGAAGGAGUCUGCUGACUAGUGUGAUUUUUAAAUUUCCUCCAUCUUGCUUGGUCUGGCACCCAAGAAUGUGCACACCCACACUACACGGGCAUGUGCUGCCCCCCUGGGCUGUCCUAAGCCAAGCUUGAGCCACCAUUGGCAUGUGUGAGGCACAGGAAGUGAGGCAGAGAACAGCCUCUGGAGUUCGAUCACUUCCUGUGGACAGGGCUACACGCCAGUGGGAUCCUGGAGCUCGAGCUGGGAGGAGGCCUGCAGACAGCUUUCCUUCAGAUCGGAUGUGAUUGCCAACAAGCAAUUCCACUGGGUCAAACCAGUCUUCAGUGCUCCCUGGAUGGCGUGUCCUUACGUUAUCGAUCGAGGGAAUGCAGUUUCCGAGUCGCCCACCAGGUGGUGCUAUGUACGAGUCUCCGGGCAAGUAGUCUUGCUUGCGGCUCCCGGGCCAGCUCGAGUAAGUUAAAAAUUCCCCUACCAGCAGGGGCGCCCUCAUCCGCUGGACAAGUUAAAAUGCCCCCUUGGCUGGCUUCGGAUUUAGACGAAAGGAUGUUUGUUGAAAUCCUUUGGAAAAGAAUAGAAAAUGCCGGACUUCAUUCAUCCCCCGUCUGGAGCCUCCCCUUUUCGUGAUCGCCGUAGUCCCAGGGCAUAGGCAGUCCCCACGGGGUGGCCACCGAUUUAACAAAAAUGGAGAGAAUUGUUGAGCAUUCUUAUGGAAAAGCCACCACCUCACCUCCAGCCACGCCGAUCUCAGACCGGUGUCAGAGCAGCCAGCCCCUUCCCGUCAGCCCCUUCGGUCUUGCUUUCUAGGGACCGAUGAGAAUCACUGCCUUGGAGCGAGCCUCACAGCAUCUUAGUUAAUGACAGGUAAAGUUUCAGUCACCCCCAACCUUAUGGACAUGCCCCCGAACCCCCAAAUCUAAAACUACAGAAGGGCAAAAGAGGAGGGAACGAAGGGAUGAAUUCAGGACUCAUGUCUGUAAAUCUGGCUCCUUCUCGGGCUUCUUUGUGCCUGAACAAAUCCCUGAGGCUCAGUAGGGGGAAAGAGCCUAGGAGCAUCAGAAAUGCUUCCCUAGUUCUCCGUCCUUACAUUAUCCACUCUGUCUCUUGGUAACCUCAUCAACUUCCGCUGAACUCCAUAUUGCUGCCAAAAUAAAUUUCCUUACCUGUAGAUCUAGUAUGUGACU